Manis javanica (Malayan pangolin) is the source of this 1478-nucleotide long non-coding RNA. RefSeq lists it as uncharacterized. The record is from RefSeq and is a predicted model, not a curated record. Lineage: Eukaryota; Metazoa; Chordata; Mammalia; Pholidota; Manidae.
ACGGGGAGAUGACAGCUGUCUACAUGUCAAGCAGAGAGACCCGGGAAGGAACCAGCCCAGCUGACACCUUGAUCUCCGACUUGCAGCCUCCAGAACCGUUACCUGGUGGGAACAGGCACUGAUCCCAUCAGGAGUCCCUGGCACUGACCCCCUAACCCUUUCUAAUGGUUCUCCUCCCAGGCAUAGUCUCCUCACGUGCACUGACCAGUUCACUGCCGAGGACUCGGGGGAGAUUCCCUGCCAGCCCUCCUCUGGGCAGCUCUGAGUUCCUCCUCCUGACACCUCUACUUGGAAGCUUUCUCAAGAGUAGCUGGGCUUGAGACAUUUUAUUUCCCAUCUUUCAGAGAACACGGUCUUACGCAACUUGAUAUCCUCUGCCUUGAAUACCAUUGUUUCUUAUAUUUUGUGAAAGUUUGGAAUUAUUUCAUGCAGGAGGUUAAAUUAGAUCCCUGUCACUCCAUGUUAGUUGGAAAUGGAAGUCUGAGAAACACUUAAAAUUUCUGUCCUUCUGUUCAUUGAGGAUGAGCUAGGAAUCCUUUCGGCUGCAAGUAACUGAAAGCGGGACCUAGGCCUACACCGCUCACUAUUUACUCCUAUAGUAAAUACUGCUAGUCAUUCCCCAAUAUCUCAUUUUUCCCCCUCCUCUCAGUACAGAACUCUUAAAAGUUAGUCGGGCACAUGGCUGCCCAGGUAGAAGUUCCAUUUCUCAGUUCCCAGGCAAUAGGUGUGGUCAUCUGACUAAGUUCUGGCAGAUUUGCUAUAAAUGAAAGUGUUGCCUGAGACUUCCAGGAUAUGUUGUCAUGAAGAGAAGGUCUUCAUCUCUUCUCCUUUUCUCUGGCCUGCCGGCUGAGCUGGGUGUGAUGGCUGGAGCUGGAGCAGCUGGGUUGGACCACAGGACAAAAGCCAGGGUCGAGCCUGGUCUCUGAAAUGUAUGGGGCUAUGUUGCCAGAUGCUAACUACCAUAUAAGGUACAACUCUGCAUCCUUCUUCAGGAAGCUCUCAUGCCCGUGGGAUCUCAGGAAUCCAGCUUCGGGAGACAUGCCCCUUCCAUGUUGGGUGCUGUGAGAGUCAGAGCCUGGGAUGCCGGCUACUCGAGGCAUCAAGAGCAUCAGCGGGGCACUCCCACAGCCCAGCGCUGCACAUGCCCUCAAGGACGGACCAUGGCUCCAGAAUCCCUACUCCCCGUGGAAGCCUAUGGGCAGAAGUCCUGAUUAAUGUUGCUCAGAAAUCACACUGAGAAAAAAAUCACAUCGUGGCAGCUCUCUCUCACCCCCAAAAUCUUAUUCCAUGAAAAUAAGUGUGUAACCUGAUGUGACUGGCUGAACUGUUCUCUGUGCACUGCUGAAGCUGGUUUCCUGGCAGUCUUGGCCUCUGAUUUUGGCAUUAAAUAGUCAUUUUCUGUAACAUAUACCUGCACAUACACAUAUACACGCAAGCAUACAUGCCCAGGUGCACACAUGUACACAUGCAUACAUACA